UGCCUACGGGGGGCAGCAGUGGGGAAUAUUGCACAAUGGGGGAAACCCUGAUGCAGCGACGCCGCGGGAGUGAAGAAGUAUUUCGGUAUGUAAAGCUAUAUCAGCAGGGAAGAAGUUGACGGUACCUGAGUAAGAAGCCCCGGCUAACUACGUGCCAGCAGCCGCGGUAAUACGUAGGGGGCAAGCGUUAUCCGGAUUUACUGGGUGUAAAGGGAGCGUAGACGGCAGUGCAAGUCUGAAGUGAAAGCCCCGGGCUUAACCCG
RNAcentral lists this ribosomal RNA (263 nucleotides) under uncultured bacterium. Its description in RNAcentral is "partial 16S ribosomal RNA". It matches the Rfam family "Bacterial small subunit ribosomal RNA", at positions 335 to 616 of the family's 1533-position model. The record is from RNAcentral.